GUGUAAUAAUGCUUCAUUUUAUUUCAAUAUACAUGGGAUAGUGUAAUCAUGCUUCAUUUUAGGUCAGUGUACAUGAGAUAGGGUGACAGAGUGAGAUAGAAUAUCCUUUCACAUUCUAUCUCAAUGCGAACAAAUUACUUGUCAUUUCUAGGAAGAGAACUACCAGAAAACAUCAAAUGAUUUUUGAUGUCUGGAUUGUGCUAUUUGAUAAGUUCCUCACCUGCUCGCUGCCACAUUGGUGUUCUUCUCCAAUCUAUAAGAAACUCUGGAUUGUGCUAUUUGAUAACCAUGCCCCCCGUUGGCGUGAUUGGUGGCAGUAUGGGUUUUCUCUAAAUUAUGCUUAGUGGUCAUUAUUUGAUAAAGGUUGAAACUUCCAUUAUUUGUUUGGGGCAAAUCUGGUUGGAUUCUAUAUAGUUGAGUCUUCAACAUUUCAAAUGAAAAUUCACAAGGUCACAGAUUUUUCUUGUUAUCUUUUUCCUUCAAAGAUAUUGCCAUGGUAUAAAGA
This 505-nucleotide unclassified non-coding RNA is filed under the name Hevea brasiliensis (rubber tree). Lineage: Eukaryota; Viridiplantae; Streptophyta; Magnoliopsida; Malpighiales; Euphorbiaceae. The record is from RNAcentral.